GCCUUCGUGGCUCAGCUGGUUAGAGCGCCGGUCUCAUAUUCGCCUCCGAGUAACAAUGUGAUCAUCCACCAGGAUGAGCCAUCCGGAGAUCGCCAGUUCGAUCCUGGCCGAGGGCA
Puccinia graminis f. sp. tritici is the source of this 116-nucleotide transfer RNA. It matches the Rfam family "tRNA". Rfam says of the family: Transfer RNA (tRNA) molecules are approximately 80 nucleotides in length. Their secondary structure includes four short double-helical elements and three loops (D, anti-codon, and T loops). The record is from Rfam. Lineage: Eukaryota; Fungi; Basidiomycota; Pucciniomycetes; Pucciniales; Pucciniaceae.